This is a long non-coding RNA of Cygnus atratus (black swan), 1045 nucleotides long. RefSeq lists it as uncharacterized. The transcript is spliced from 4 exons. The record is from RefSeq and is a predicted model, not a curated record. NCBI's taxonomy places the organism in Eukaryota, Metazoa, Chordata, Aves, Anseriformes, Anatidae.
CCCUUCCCUUCCCUUCCCUUCCCUUCCCUUCCCUCACUUCUCCUCCCGGGGUCGCCCCAUGGCGGCGCAGGGAGGUAACGGCCGCGACGGGCGGCCCUGAGGGGCAGGUGCUGCCCCUGUGUGUCUUGCAGGUGGGCUUCUGGAACCGCAGCGACUAGCGACAGUGACAAAAUCACCCAGCAAAGCGGUGGCAAAGAAUGAAACAGAAGUUCCUAAUGGCUACUUAAAUUCACACUGAAAACUGAUGGAGCUCUGAAGUGUGCAAGGAUUACUGAAGAGGCAUUUAACACUUCUUUACUUCAGACCAUUCUUUUGUUUCCUAAAGCAACGUCAAAAGAGACACCAGGUGGCAGAUAACACACUACUUCAUUGAGGCCUCUCCCUUGAUUAAAUAAAAACCAAAUCAUAACACUAACGUGAAUUCAAUGGCAGAAAGAAUGCAGCAGAAAACUUACUGUUCCAAAACAUUUUGAUGAUAAACGAUGACUAUUCGGUGAUCCACAAGGAAAUAUAGGAGAAGACAGCUUUAUUGCUUCUCCUAGUAAUAAAGAAACAGCAAUCAAAUAUGAUACCCUAAACCAUCCUUAGGUAUCGAAUGUUAUACCCUAAACUAACCUUGACUUGGAGACCAUGGCCUCUCUUCAGGACUGUGUACUGAUUUUGCUAGUGAUAGAUUUUUUUUUAUUAAAACAUUCACAUACACACCCUCUGUCUGGAGUCCCAUAAAGAAAAUCCUUAGUUCUAAAGCCAAGGCUUUUGCCUGAGUACUUUAAGCCCUUCCUGGUACUUUUCUGCUGGCACAGAAAAAAAAAAUCUGUGCACUUGGAUUUACUUGCACUUCUAGAAACAUUCUUCCAGAAACAGUCUCAGAGUACCACUGCCCCCAUGGGAGUUAGAGCCAGGCAAUUUUUUUUUGUCUGUUGUCAAGAUAUUGGAGUGACAGGAAGUCCACCUCCCCAUAAAAAACAGUUUGGGUUUGGAAAAGCAGCUCUUUGGAUCAAUCCAAUUAACAAACUCAAUAUUAGAAAUGAAAUUGUAUCUGCAG